RNAcentral lists this ribosomal RNA (495 nucleotides) under uncultured bacterium. RNAcentral describes it as "partial 16S ribosomal RNA". It matches the Rfam family "Bacterial small subunit ribosomal RNA", at positions 28 to 507 of the family's 1533-position model. The record is from RNAcentral.
GACGAACGCUGGCGGCGUGCCUAAUACAUGCAAGUAGAACGCUGAAGGCGGAGCUUGCUCUUCUGGAUGAGUUGCGAACGGGUGAGUAACGCGUAGGUAACCUGCCUGGUAGCGGGGGAUAACUAUUGGAAACGAUAGCUAAUACCGCAUAACAGUAGAUGUUGCAUGACAUUUACUUAAAAGGUGCAAUUGCAUCACUACCAGAUGGACCUGCGUUGUAUUAGCUAGUUGGUGGGGUAACGGCUCACCAAGGCGACGAUACAUAGCCGACCUGAGAGGGUGAGCGGCCACACUGGGACGGAGACACGGCCCAGACUCCUACGGGAGGCAGCAGUAGGGAAUCUUCGGCAAUGGACGGAAGUCUGACCGAGCAACGCCGCGGGAGUGAAGAAGGUUUUCGGAUCGUAAAGCUCUGUUGUAAGAGAAGAACGAGUGUGAGAGUGGAAAGUUCACACUGUGACGGUAUCUUACCAGAAAGGUACGGCUAACUACGUG